Molecule: ribosomal RNA, 78 nt
Filed under: Citrobacter freundii
Lineage: Bacteria; Pseudomonadati; Pseudomonadota; Gammaproteobacteria; Enterobacterales; Enterobacteriaceae
Also listed under: 15 other names
Description: partial 23S ribosomal RNA
Source: RNAcentral
GGGUUGUGAGGUUAAGCGACUAAGCGUACACGGUGGAUGCCCUGGCAGUCAGAGGCGAUGAAGGACGUGCUAAUCUGC